Molecule: transfer RNA, 71 nt
Filed under: Nycteribia allotopa
Lineage: Eukaryota; Metazoa; Arthropoda; Insecta; Diptera; Nycteribiidae
Also listed under: 4 other names
Description: tRNA-Val
Rfam family: tRNA
About the family: Transfer RNA (tRNA) molecules are approximately 80 nucleotides in length. Their secondary structure includes four short double-helical elements and three loops (D, anti-codon, and T loops).
Source: RNAcentral
CAAUUUAAAGCUUAAAAGUUAAGUAUUUCAUUUACAUUGAAAUGAGUUUUGUGCAAAUCAAUUUAAAUUGA